This 2275-nucleotide ribosomal RNA is filed under the name Triticum aestivum (bread wheat). RNAcentral's name for it is "partial small subunit ribosomal RNA". The record is from RNAcentral. Lineage: Eukaryota; Viridiplantae; Streptophyta; Magnoliopsida; Poales; Poaceae.
GCGCAAGACAGUUAAACUUGACAUAAAAAACAACAAUGAUCGGACGCAUUACAUACAUCAUCAUAUGUAUGUGUAAUACAUGACCAUGUUUAGUGUUGCUGGAAGACCACUUUCCUUCUCAUCCUGGGCAACAACUUCAGCUUUGUUUUCACACGAUCUCUUUAUAGCAUAUGUCAGGGCACUUCAUUGAUAAUCUGGAUAGCACUCACAUGUUCAUUCAUUUCGUCAUAUAACGGUCAAAGAAAAAAAGUACACUCAAUUUAUCAUUUAAUUAGAGCACCGGUUUAAUCCAUAAAGGCAGCGUGUAGAGCACUCUCUCACACACACAGAGGAAUGCUUGUAUUUCUUAGUUUUUCCACCUACCUAUGGCACAUCAUUUCAAGAAUAUAGUUGUUGAAGCAACUUAUAUGCAAAGCACGACUACUAUCACGACAUCCUUUUUUAGGACAAAGAUAAUUAAUAACACGACAUUCUAUGUCUCAUUGCUAUCUUAUUUAUUUGAUCAUUUUGGGAGCUUCAAUUCCUUGAAUAAUUCAGUGAAUGCCAUCUGCAAUGACCCGUUGUCUGCCAAUGCCAACACUCAUCUAGCCUUCUCCUUCGCCAAUGUCAACCUCCCACUUAGAUUCUCCCCUUCUUCUCCAUGCCCUCAGCCUUCACAAGUUCCUCGUCAUACUUCUCCAUCACCUCCCCGACAUUCAUAUCAUCCACCACGAAUAUAAUUCAUAACAUUCAGGCGGUAAAGGUCAAUGUACACCAAGCCGGUCAAAUAAAUAGUACUUUAGCAUCUCUCAAGGGAAGUUUCAAAUUUCACCUAAAAAUUUCAGUUAAAGUCAUGUCAAUAAUUUAAUCUUCUACCAAUAUUAAAUACUAUAUGAUAAAUGUGAUAGCUUAAAUUCAAAGUAAUAGAUUGGAUCCUCCCUUAACAAUAUGACUGGUAGAUAGUUUUGAGAGGAAAUCUGCAUAUAUUUUAGCAUAGACUUACCCAAAGAAAAAGUCAUUAUAACCGUUCAACAAAUGACCUAUAACCUCUAAUGUACAGAAGGGGAACAGAUCAGAUGACAUGUUUUUGUAAGUCCUAGGAUAACCAAAAAGCACAUCAUCAUGACAUGUCCUAUGUUGGAAGUGUGACACUUAUGACCGUGGUAUGUAAUUGAUAUAUUCCAGUUGGAAGUGUGUCAUUAGAUGCAAUGUGGAGGGAAUAUAUCAAGGAUACUCAUCGGAGUAUAUAUGCGGUGGCACUCGAGCAGCUGAUUACCGGUAGGAGAACGGCAGCCCCACUCGUGUACUGGUCGGCAGUCACAACCAUGCAAUUGUACCCGUCGCUACUGCGUGUAUUUGCAUAUUAGAGAGCUGUAGAUUCAGGAUCCAGAGAUGGAAGAAGAUACCUGGGUCGCCAACGUUACUGUCAUUGAUCCAAAAAUCCCUAGGACUGCCUCCAGCAGCGGGCCCUCCAGUAGCAUGGCACCGAGUGUGCGGCCCUCUCAUCCUCUUCAACACCGCCAACCGCCUCACACUACUCCUUUCCUCGCUUAUCUCCACCGCUGCUCACCUUCCCGCCGGCGCCAUCCGUCGUGCCCUUUGUCUGACAACAAAAAUAUUUUUUUAUCAAUAGAUAAAAGUAAAUUCACUUCUCAAAAAAAUACUAAAUUCAUAAUCCAUAUACGUGUUCAUGAUCUUAUUCCAUACGCAUGUUCAGAAAUGUCCCUAGAACAAAUAAAUUUGAUCUCGCUAUACAUAUGGAAUGUAAAACUUAGAUGGUCAGCCUGAAAUAGUUCAUUUCUGAAUGCAAGUAGUACCGGAAACUACAUAGCAUUCACAACUUCCAUAGUAGCCUAUGGCAUCGGACACUUGCAUAUUUGAAAGGCUCGCAAGCUGAAAGCUACACGUAUCACAAAAAAAAAACUCCAAGGGCAGUUGAUUAUACUCUAACCCAGCCGGCAGUGCCACUCCCUUGAUCAAUCAUGAGUUUGUGCUCUAGAUUCACAAGUUUGCUCAUUCUACACACUGUACACUGCACAUUAAAAUACAUGGAUGAAAGGAAGAGAACCAGGUAGACUUGGUUCUCAAAGCAUCUGAAUAAAAAGAAGCAACAUUUGCUUUUUACGUAACCCAUAUGAAAGAACUUGAAUUAAAAAAAUACAUGGAUGCAUAUUAGUUUUGUUUUCUUAGAAAUACAGGGAUGAAAGGGAGUAGACCACCAAUACCGAGCUCACCAAUAAUCCAUUAUACAUAUUUGCAAUAUAGACCAAAAAUCCAUUCGGUCCUGGAAUUUUAC